UGGAUGUUCUCUCAACUCGGAGAUCAGUGUCGAAGCUAACGCGUUAAGUUCGCCGCCUGGGGAGUACGGUCGCAAGACUGAAACUCAAAGGAAUUGACGGGGGCCCGCACAAGCGGUGGAGUAUGUGGUUUAAUUCGAUGCAACGCGAAGAACCUUACCUGGCCUUGACAUGUCCGGAAUCCUGCAGAGAUGCGGGAGUGCCUUCGGGAAUCGGAACACAGGUGCUGCAUGGCUGUCGUCAGCUCGUGUCGUGAGAUGUUGGGUUAAGUCCCGCAACGAGCGCAACCCUUGUCCUUAGUUGCCAGCGAGUAAUGUCGGGAACUCUAAGGAGACUGCCGGUGACAAACCGGAGGAAGGUGGGGAUGACGUCAAGUCCUCAUGGCCCUUACGGCCAGGGCUACACACGUACUACAAUGGUCGGUACAGAGGGUUGCGAAGCCGCGAGGUGGAGCCAAUCCCAGAAAGCCGAUCCCAGUCCGGAUCGAAGUCUGCAACUCGACUUCGUGAAGUCGGAAUCGCUAGUAAUCGCGGAUCAGCUAUGCCGCGGUGAAUACGUUCCCGGGCCUUGUACACACCGCCCG
RNAcentral lists this ribosomal RNA (581 nucleotides) under Rhodanobacter sp. Its description in RNAcentral is "bacterial SSU rRNA". It matches the Rfam family "Bacterial small subunit ribosomal RNA", at positions 817 to 1396 of the family's 1533-position model. The record is from RNAcentral. Lineage: Bacteria; Pseudomonadati; Pseudomonadota; Gammaproteobacteria; Lysobacterales; Rhodanobacteraceae.